Molecule: ribosomal RNA, 739 nt
Filed under: Staphylococcus sp. HFH0019
Lineage: Bacteria; Bacillati; Bacillota; Bacilli; Caryophanales; Staphylococcaceae
Description: bacterial SSU rRNA
Rfam family: Bacterial small subunit ribosomal RNA
Source: RNAcentral
ACGAGGAGCUUGCUCCUCUGACGUUAGCGGCGGACGGGUGAGUAACACGUGGAUAACCUACCUAUAAGACUGGGAUAACUUCGGGAAACCGGAGCUAAUACCGGAUAACAUGUUGAACCGCAUGGUUCAACAGUGAAAGACGGUCUUGCUGUCACUUAUAGAUGGAUCCGCGCCGCAUUAGCUAGUUGGUAAGGUAACGGCUUACCAAGGCAACGAUGCGUAGCCGACCUGAGAGGGUGAUCGGCCACACUGGAACUGAGACACGGUCCAGACUCCUACGGGAGGCAGCAGUAGGGAAUCUUCCGCAAUGGGCGAAAGCCUGACGGAGCAACGCCGCGUGAGUGAAGAAGGUCUUCGGAUCGUAAAACUCUGUUAUUAGGGAAGAACAAAUGUGUAAGUAACUAUGCACGUCUUGACGGUACCUAAUCAGAAAGCCACGGCUAACUACGUGCCAGCAGCCGCGGUAAUACGUAGGUGGCAAGCGUUAUCCGGAAUUAUUGGGCGUAAAGCGCGCGUAGGCGGUUUUUUAAGUCUGAUGUGAAAGCCCACGGCUCAACCGUGGAGGGUCAUUGGAAACUGGAAAACUUGAGUGCAGAAGAGGAAAGUGGAAUUCCAUGUGUAGCGGUGAAAUGCGCAGAGAUAUGGAGGAACACCAGUGGCGAAAGCGACUUUCUGGUCUGUAACUGACGCUGAUGUGCGAAAGCGUGGGGAUCAAACAGGAUUAGAUACCCUGGUAGUC